RNAcentral lists this ribosomal RNA (256 nucleotides) under uncultured bacterium. RNAcentral's name for it is "partial 16S ribosomal RNA". It matches the Rfam family "Bacterial small subunit ribosomal RNA", at positions 15 to 263 of the family's 1533-position model. The record is from RNAcentral.
GAUCCUGGCUCAGGACGAACGCUGGCGGCGCGCCUAACACAUGCAAGUCGAACGGAGCUGAGAGGAGCUUGCUUUUCUUAGCUUAGUGGCGAACGGGUGAGUAACGCGUGAGUAACCUGCCCUGGAGUGGGGGACAACAGUUGGAAACGACUGCUAAUACCGCAUAAGCCCACGGUACCGCAUGGUACUGAGGGAAAAGGAUUUAUUCGCUUCAGGAUGGACUCGCGUCCAAUUAGCUAGUUGGUGAGGUAACCGG